RNAcentral lists this ribosomal RNA (603 nucleotides) under uncultured bacterium. RNAcentral describes it as "bacterial SSU rRNA". It matches the Rfam family "Bacterial small subunit ribosomal RNA", at positions 338 to 944 of the family's 1533-position model. The record is from RNAcentral.
CCUACGGGAGGCAGCAGUAAGGAAUAUUGGACAAUGGGCGAAAGCCUGAUCCAGCCAUGCCGCGUGAAGGAUUAAGGUCCUCUGGAUUGUAAACUUCUUUUAUCUGGGACGAAAAAAGGGAAUUCUUUCCCACUUGACGGUACCAGGUGAAUAAGCACCGGCUAACUCCGUGCCAGCAGCCGCGGUAAUACGGAGGGUGCAAGCGUUAUCCGGAUUCACUGGGUUUAAAGGGUGCGUAGGCGGGUAGGUAAGUCAGUGGUGAAAUCCUGGAGCUUAACUCCAGAACUGCCAUUGAUACUAUUUAUCUUGAAUAUUGUGGAGGUUUGCGGAAUAUGUCAUGUAGCGGUGAAAUGCUUAGAUAUGACAUAGAACACCUAUUGCGAAGGCAGCAGGCUACACAUAUAUUGACGCUGAGGCACGAAAGCGUGGGGAUCAAACAGGAUUAGAUACCCUGGUAGUCCACGCCCUAAACUAUGGAUACUCGACAUACGCGAUACACUGUGUGUGUCUGNGNGAGANAUAGUAUCCNCCGUGGUAGUACGACGCGAGUUAGUUAAGUUAAUUAGAUUGNGNGNGAGAGNGCGAGCGACGACGAGGAGGAGG